This 2350-nucleotide ribosomal RNA is filed under the name gut metagenome. RNAcentral describes it as "bacterial LSU rRNA". It matches the Rfam family "Bacterial large subunit ribosomal RNA", at positions 14 to 2382 of the family's 2925-position model. The record is from RNAcentral.
AGGGCGCAUGGCGGAUGCCUUGGCUCUCGGAGGCGAUGAAGGACGUGAUAAGCUGCGAUAAGCUUUGGGGAGGUGCAAAUGACCUUUGAUCCAGAGAUUUCCGAAUGGGACAACCCAAUAUCUUGAAGAGGUAUUAUCCAACGUUGUUGGAGGCUAACGCAGGGAACUGAAACAUCUUAGUACCUGCAGGAAAAGAAAAUAAACAAUGAUUCCCCCAGUAGUGGCGAGCGAACGGGGAACAGCCCAAACCAUCCAUGUUACGGCAUGGGUGGGGUUGUAGGACUACGCCGUUGCAUGAAGACAUCAGAGAAGAACUUUCUGGAAAGAAAGACCAUAGAGCAUGACAGUUGCGUAUUCGAAUGUUGUCGAAGCAUAGUAGUAUCCUGAGUAGCGCGGAGCACGAGGAAUUCUGCGUGAAUCUGCCGGGACCAUCCGGUAAGGCUAAAUACUCCCGAGAGACCGAUAGCGAACCAGUACCGUGAGGGAAAGGUGAAAAGCACUUCGAACAGAAGAGUGAAAUAGUUCCUGAAACCGUGCGCCUACAAGCGGUCGGAGCUCGUUAAUGAGUGACGGCGUGCCUUUUGCAUAAUGAACCUACGAGUUGCCUUUGCCGGCAAGGUUAAGUGUGACGACACACGUAUCCGAAGCGAAAGCGAGUCUGAAGAGGGCGUAUAGUCGGCAGUGGCAGACGCGAAACCAAGUGAUCUACCCUUGGCCAGGUUGAAGGCUGGGUAACACCAGCUGGAGGACCGCACCAAUAAGCGUUGAAAAGCUUCUGGAUGAGCUGAGGGUAGGGGUGAAAGGCUAAUCAAACUUGGAGAUAGCUCGUACUCCCCGAAAUGCAUUUAGGUGCAGCCUUGCGGGUUACUGAUGUGAGGUAGAGCGACUGAUAAGAUGCGAGGGCUUCACCGCCUAUCAAGUCUUGACAAACUCCGAAUGCGCAUCAGUUCUACCGCAGGAGUGAGGGCAUGGGUGCUAAGGUCCGUGCCCGAGAGGAGAAGAAUCCGGACCACCUGCUAAGGUCCCGAAAUGACAGCUAAGUUAAACUAACGAAGUCUGACUGCUAAGACAGCUAGGAUGUUGGCUUGGAAGCAGCCAUUCAUUUAAAGAGUGCGUAACAGCUCACUAGUCGAGGAGUCGGGCGUGGAUAAUAAUCGGGUAUGAAGUUGUCUACCGAAGCAGUGGGAUCAUUUAUAUGAUCGGUAGGGGAGCAUUCCAGUCAGCGUCGAAGGCGUACCGUGAGGUAUUCUGGAGCGUCUGGAAAAGCAAAUGUAGGUAUAAGUAACGAUAAAGGGGGCGGGAAACCCCCUCGCCGAAAGACUAAGGUUUCCUGAUCAACGCUAAUCGGAUCAGGGUCAGUCGGGUCCUAAGGCUCAGCCGAACGGCGAUGCCGAUGGCAGAAACGGUUAAUAUUCCGUUACUACCUUCAGGAGUGACGUGGAGACGCAGUAGUGACAGUGCCGCCAUCUGACGGAAUAGAUGGUUGAAGGGUGUAGGAGUCGAUCAUGGCAGGCAAAUCCACCAUGAGAUCCGAACCUGACAGUAUGCCGCGUCCUUCGGGACAAGGCAAUAGUGCGCGUAAGCAUGCUGCCGAGAAAAUCCGCUAAACUUAAUCCUGCAGGUACCCGUACCGCAAACGGACACACGUAGUCGGGAUGAAUAUUCUAAGGCGCUUGAGUGAUUCACGGUUAAGGAACUAGGCAAACUGACCCUGUAACUUCGGGAUAAAGGGUCCCUACCCUUUUAUGGGAGGGCGCAGAGAAUCGGUCCAGGCAACUGUUUAACAAAAACACAGGGCUGUGCCAAAUCGAAAGAUCCAGUAUACAGCCUGACACCUGCCCGGUGCUGGAAGGUUAAGAGGAGAUGUCAUCGAUAAGAGAAGCGUUGAAUUGAAGCCCCAGUAAACGGCGGCCGUAACUAUAACGGUCCUAAGGUAGCGAAAUUCCUUGUCGGGUAAGUUCCGACCUGCACGAAUGGUGUAAUGAUCUGGACGCUGUCUCAACCGUGAGCUCAGUGAAAUUGUAGUAUCGGUGAAGAUGCCGAUUACCCGCGAUGGGACGAAAAGACCCCGUGAACCUUUACUAUAGCUUAUCAUUGAAUCUGGGCACGUGAUGUGUAGGAUAGGUCGGAGGCUUUGAAGCAGGUACGCCAGUAUUUGUGGAGCCGCUGUUGAAAUACGACCCUUUAUUUGUUUGGAUUCUAACCCGUGGAUACGGGGACAUUGAUUGGUGGGUAGUUUGACUGGGGUGGUCGCCUCCAAAAGCGUAACGGAGGCUUCUAAAGGUGCCCUCCGGCCGAUUGGUAACCGGCCUUAGAGUGUAAUGGCAUAAGGGCGCUUGACUGGGAGACU